UACGGAGGAUCCGAGCGUUAUCCGGAUUUAUUGGGUUUAAAGGGUGCGUAGGCGGCCUGUUAAGUCAGGGGUGAAAGACGGUAGCUCAACUAUCGCAGUGCCUUUGAUACUGAUGGGCUUGAAUACACUUGAGGUAGGCGGAAUGUGACAAGUAGCGGUGAAAUUCAUAGAUAUGUCGCAGAACACCAAUUGCGAAGGCAGCUUACUGUGGUGUCAUUGACGCUGAGGCACGAAAGCGUGGGGAUCAAACAGG
RNAcentral lists this ribosomal RNA (253 nucleotides) under uncultured bacterium. Its description in RNAcentral is "partial 16S ribosomal RNA". It matches the Rfam family "Bacterial small subunit ribosomal RNA", at positions 524 to 776 of the family's 1533-position model. The record is from RNAcentral.